RNAcentral lists this ribosomal RNA (499 nucleotides) under uncultured Glomeromycotina. RNAcentral's name for it is "partial small subunit ribosomal RNA". It matches the Rfam family "Eukaryotic small subunit ribosomal RNA", at positions 591 to 1092 of the family's 1831-position model. The record is from RNAcentral. Lineage: Eukaryota; Fungi; Glomeromycota.
CCAAUAGCGUAUAUUAAAGUUGCUGCAGUUAAAAAGCUCGUAGUUGAAUUUCGGGACCAUCAUGUCGGUCGUGCCUCGGUACGUACUGGUAUUGUUGGUUUCUCCCUUCUGACGAACCAUGAUGUCAUUUAUUUGGUGUUGUGGGGAAUCAGGACUGUUACUUUGAAAAAAUUAGAGUGUUUAAAGCAGGCUCACGCUUGAAUACAUUAGCAUGGAAUAAUGAAAUAGGACGUUUGAUUCUAUUUUGUUGGUUUCUAGGAUCGACGUAAUGAUUAAUAGGGAUAGUUGGGGGCAUUAGUAUUCAAUUGUCAGAGGUGAAAUUCUUGGAUUUAUUGAAGACUAACUACUGCGAAAGCAUUUGCCAAGGAUGUUUUCAUUAAUCAAGAACGAAAGUUAGGGGAUCGAAGACGAUCAGAUACCGUCGUAGUCUUAACCAUAAACUAUGCCGACUAGGGAUCGGAUGAUGUUAAUUUUUUAAUGACUCAUUCGGCGCCUUACA